Molecule: unclassified non-coding RNA, 733 nt
Filed under: Hevea brasiliensis (rubber tree)
Lineage: Eukaryota; Viridiplantae; Streptophyta; Magnoliopsida; Malpighiales; Euphorbiaceae
Source: RNAcentral
GAUUUGAAGCUUAAUCUUUCCACCAAAGAAUCUGCAAGGAAGGGUAUUGGAGAGGAGAAGAUGAAGGAGAAAGCUGCUGUACUUCCUUCUUCUACUGAUCCAGCAAAACCUCCUGCCAAGGCACAAGUUGUGGGUUGGCCACCAAUUCGAUCAUUCCGAAAGAAUGUCAUGUCUGUACAGAAAAACAGCAGUGAUGAGGCCGCCGGCAGUAGCAGCAGCAGUGCUGCUUUUGUGAAGGUGAGCAUGGAUGGUGCGCCAUACUUGCGAAAAGUGGACUUGAAAUUGUACAAGAGCUACCAAGAACUCUCUGAUGCCUUAGGCAAAAUGUUCAGCUCCUUUACCAUUGGGAACUGUGGAUCUCAAGGAAUGAAGGAUUUCAUGAACGAGAGCAAAUUGAUAGACCUGUUGAAUGGUUCUGAGUAUGUUCCAACUUAUGAAGACAAAGACGGAGAUUGGAUGCUUGUAGGAGAUGUGCCAUGGGAAAUGUUUGUCGAUUCAUGCAAACGAUUAAGGAUAAUGAAGGGGUCUGAGGCAAUAGGACUUGCUCCAAGAGCUGUGGAGAAGUGCAAGAACAGGAGCUGAAGGCUGAAGAAGAAAUAGAUCAAAGGAAAGCAGAUCCGCUCAAGAGGAAUGGAGCUCCUAGUUUGGAUGUUUUGUAUCAUGGUUUCUUGUUCUUCUUCUUUUAUUUUUAAUUUUUUUUUUAAUUUUUAUUCGGGGAUUUGUUAGAGACAUG